RNAcentral lists this ribosomal RNA (253 nucleotides) under uncultured bacterium. RNAcentral's name for it is "partial 16S ribosomal RNA". It matches the Rfam family "Bacterial small subunit ribosomal RNA", at positions 524 to 776 of the family's 1533-position model. The record is from RNAcentral.
UACAGAGGGUGCGAGCGUUAAUCGGAAUUACUGGGCGUAAAGCGUGCGUAGACGGUUAUUUAAGUCGGGUGUGAAAGCCCCGGGCUCAACCUGGGAAUUGCAUUGGAAACUAACGGGCUCGAGUGUGGCAGAGGGGGGUGGAAUUCCACGUGUAGCAGUGAAAUGCGUAGAGAUGUGGAGGAACACCGAUGGCGAAGGCAGCCCCCUGGGCUAACACUGACGCUCAGGCACGAAAGCGUGGGGAGCAAACAGG